Herpailurus yagouaroundi (jaguarundi) is the source of this 464-nucleotide long non-coding RNA. RefSeq lists it as uncharacterized. The transcript has 2 exons. NCBI's taxonomy places the organism in Eukaryota, Metazoa, Chordata, Mammalia, Carnivora, Felidae. The record is from RefSeq and is a predicted model, not a curated record.
CCAACCCCGAGAUUGCUGAGGGUGAUGCUGAGGCCAUGAGGAGGUCCUGGGAAAGGCUUCGCCCCUGGAGCGUAAGAAAUUAUCACGUCUCCCGGACCCCUUGCCUUUUCAGGCCACCAAGGGUGCAGCUCCCAGGUUCAUGGGGACCUGAACCUGUCCCGAGUGGGGAAGACCGCCUCAGGCACCGCCCUGUUGGUUCAUCCGGGUAUUCCAGAAUCGCCUUCUGUUUUGUCAAAAGUUAGGAUCAUCAACUGCUGUGGCUGACUGGGAGGUAGCCUGGGGGGAAGCCACUCCAGGGCGCUGUGUUGACACCUCUGGCCCCGGGGGUGCCUAGUCCAGGGGUAAGUGGGAAAACCCUGUACAUAGGAAAAAUGGUCAUUUAUAUGUAAUUCAAGAUAAGCACUUUUUUUUUUUUAAGUUUAAAACACCAAUUAAACAUGCUGUCCUUUAGACAUAAAAAGGAA